Transfer RNA from Loxodonta africana (African savanna elephant), 70 nucleotides. It matches the Rfam family "tRNA". Rfam says of the family: Transfer RNA (tRNA) molecules are approximately 80 nucleotides in length. Their secondary structure includes four short double-helical elements and three loops (D, anti-codon, and T loops). Further hydrogen bonds mediate the characteristic L-shaped molecular structure. tRNAs have two regions of fundamental functional importance: the anti-codon, which is responsible for specific mRNA codon recognition, and the 3' end, to which the tRNAs corresponding amino acid is attached (by aminoacyl-tRNA synthetases). tRNAs cope with the degeneracy of the genetic code in two manners: having more than one tRNA (with a specific anti-codon) for a particular amino acid; and 'wobble' base-pairing, i.e. permitting non-standard base-pairing at the 3rd anti-codon position. NCBI's taxonomy places the organism in Eukaryota, Metazoa, Chordata, Mammalia, Proboscidea, Elephantidae. The record is from Rfam.
AAGGGCUUAGUUUAGUUAAAGCGUCUGAUUUGCAUUCAGUUGAUGUAAGGUGAUUAUCUUGCAGUCCUUA